RNAcentral lists this ribosomal RNA (484 nucleotides) under uncultured bacterium. Its description in RNAcentral is "partial 16S ribosomal RNA". It matches the Rfam family "Bacterial small subunit ribosomal RNA", at positions 30 to 507 of the family's 1533-position model. The record is from RNAcentral.
AUUGAACGCUGGCGGCAGGCCUAACACAUGCAAGUCGAGCGGAUGAAGGGAGCUUGCUCCUGGAUUCAGCGGCGGACGGGUGAGUAAUGCCUAGGAAUCUGCCUGGUAGUGGGGGGUAACGUCCGGAAACGGGCGCUAAUACCGCAUACGUCCUGAGGGAGAAAGUGUGGGAUCUUCGGACCUCACGCUAUCAGAUGAGCCUAGGUCGGAUUAGCUAGUUGGUGGGGUAAAGGCCUACCAAGGCGACGAUCCGUAACUGGUCUGAGAGGAUGAUCAGUCACACUGGAACUGAGACACGGUCCAGACUCCUACGGGAGGCAGCAGUGGGGAAUAUUGGACAAUGGGCGAAAGCCUGAUCCAGCCAUGCCGCGUGUGUGAAGAAGGUCUUCGGAUUGUAAAGCACUUUAAGUUGGGAGGAAGGGCAGUAAGUUAAUACCUUGCUGUUUUGACGUUACCAACAGAAUAAGCACCGGCUAACUUCGUG